Molecule: transfer RNA, 76 nt
Filed under: Gammaproteobacteria bacterium
Lineage: Bacteria; Pseudomonadati; Pseudomonadota; Gammaproteobacteria
Description: tRNA-Met
Rfam family: tRNA
About the family: Transfer RNA (tRNA) molecules are approximately 80 nucleotides in length. Their secondary structure includes four short double-helical elements and three loops (D, anti-codon, and T loops). Further hydrogen bonds mediate the characteristic L-shaped molecular structure. tRNAs have two regions of fundamental functional importance: the anti-codon, which is responsible for specific mRNA codon recognition, and the 3' end, to which the tRNAs corresponding amino acid is attached (by aminoacyl-tRNA synthetases). tRNAs cope with the degeneracy of the genetic code in two manners: having more than one tRNA (with a specific anti-codon) for a particular amino acid; and 'wobble' base-pairing, i.e. permitting non-standard base-pairing at the 3rd anti-codon position.
Source: RNAcentral
UGGCUAUGUAGCUCAGUUGGUUAGAGCACAGCACUCAUAACGCUGCGGUCGGUGGUUCAAGUCCACCCAUAGCCAU